UAUAGAGCAAAGAUCUUGAGAGUGAGAGAGAGGGAAGACACAAUUUGGAGAAGAAGAAAAAUGGAAAAGAAAGCUAGCAAGGAGAUCAAGCAAUUCAUCUAGUAAGAAGAAAGCAAGAAAGUAAGAAGGUAUACAGAACUUCAAACCCUAAGACUAGUUCAUUUGAUAGCUUAUGUUUAAGCAUGUUUAUUGUGGGAGUUGAUGUUUGUGAUGAGGAUCGUGGUGGAUUCGACAGUAUAAGGUUGGUUGUGAUGGAGUUAUGUGCUUGUUUUUUGUUAACAUGCAUGAAAAAUCAAGAAACAUGAAAGUUAGACAAAAAAUGCAAAACCUAAAAACAAAGCAUGAAAAUCGAAUGACCAUAAUUCUCAUUCUAUUUCGAAUUUUUGAGUGUGGUUACUUUCUAAGAUAGAUAUAUGAGUCCUCUAUACACUUCAACAACAAUUUCAAUAAAAUACCAUGUAGAUUAUUUAUGGUGAUUUUUCUACCAAAGUAGGACAAAACUAAAAUUCUAUAAAAGUAGUCUGCCUAAUUUUUUGAGGACCGGUUUCGGGUACUUAACCAGUGAGAAAAAUUAAGGCCUUUUGGGUAAUGAAACUAAAUGGUAUAACGAAACUCCUGUCCGAAAAUGAACGAAUUCUGACUUCAGAUGAGUGAGAUAUGAUCAAUCAAAAAUUAGAGUUUUAAAAACUAAAAAUGCUAUAACUUGAGUUCUAUAACUCAUAUGGUUAUGAAAUACUGAGAUAUGUGUAAGAUCUAACCAAAUUUGUUGAUUUUUGAAAUUAAGUUCGAUAUAGCAAAAUUUGCCAAGUUUUGAGCAGAAAUGACACUUUUAAAAAUAUUAAAUAAAGUUGAAAAAUUAUAAUAAAAUUAUUUUUACGUGGGGAAUGUUUUUAAUUAUGUGGGGCCUGAAGGAAGAAAAUAAUAAAAUGGUUAACUAGGUUUAAUGAAGAAAAUAGAGUUAUGAAAUAGUAAAACAAUUAAUUAAAGUAAAGUCAGAAAUUAUUAAUAAAAUUUCUACCGGCUAAAGUAUGUCAACAUGGGACAUCUGAGACUAAGUAAAGAUUAAUCAUGUAUUUUUAUAAAAAUAUUAUGUAAAUAACGUGAGUGGACGUUUACGUUUGAUUUAAGUCGAAAGAAAAAUUACUGAAUUAUGUAACGAUUAACUUUGACAAUAAUUAUUAAAGUAACGAUUAACUUACUAAGUGAGUCCUCAUGAAUAUUAUAGGUAAACAUUUGGAAAGGUUUAUUAGCGUAACCAAUGAAGAGUUGCAUAAUUUAAGCAAGUUCUAACUUACAUAAAUUUUAUAUAUUUGUAAAUUUUAUAUAUUUGUGCAAGUUCUCUAGCUAGUUAUUUAACUGUUCAAGUUUAAUUAUGCGGAAGUUCCGCACUUCAGUGCCUUUGAAAUUUAUUGUUCUAUUAUGAACUGUUUAAAAAUAUGAGUUGAUGUCAUUUGUUUCGGCUAGACACUUUGUUAAUGAUAAGUUUUGAAUUAAUAAAUUCUUUAAAAUUGAUUAAAGUUUAAUCCAAUCCAAAUUAUUUUGGUACGAACUCUUAUUAUAAGAUUGAGUUGAACAACCCUGAUAAAGGUGUAAUUUAUGUCGGGCAACCGACUUUGCGCCCGCAAGACUUGAAUGUUAUGCAUAACAUAUGGUACAAUAGGUUGACCCCCUUAUGUACUUGCAGAUAGUGUUUUUCAGUCUUUGUAAUUGAUAAAUACUCUGAAGGUUCUCAGUUGAUUGACGGUUAAACCUUGUAAAGAGUUCAUGGUUCUUUAUGACCAUUCAGUAUAAAAGUAAAUAUUCUCAUUUAAAGAAAUUGAUUUAUUUCCUAAUUAUUCAUACUAGCUCAUAAUUAUUGAACAAUCGUCAAAGAUUCCAAAAAGUUAUGUUUUUAUUCGUGAUUUCUUGUUUAUAUAAUGUCUUAAACUUGUUGAGCAAAGAAGUUACUCACCCUUGCUAUGCUAAUAUGUUUUCAGUUAAAAUUGAAGAUUCAGCAGGAUCGAGUAAGAAUAAAGAUAAAGAAAAAAUCCUAGAAUAGAAUUAACUUAUGUAUUAAGUUAUUAUAGUUGAUGUAAUAGUUGAUAAUAUUUAUGUCUUGUAUAUGUAAGGUUAAGAAACAUGGGGUAGCAUAAAG
This 2134-nucleotide long non-coding RNA is filed under the name Panax ginseng (ginseng). RNAcentral describes it as "long non-coding RNA (PGIN_LNC017044)". Lineage: Eukaryota; Viridiplantae; Streptophyta; Magnoliopsida; Apiales; Araliaceae. The record is from RNAcentral.